Molecule: long non-coding RNA, 927 nt
Organism: Salvia splendens (bonfire salvia)
Lineage: Eukaryota; Viridiplantae; Streptophyta; Magnoliopsida; Lamiales; Lamiaceae
Exons: 3
Source: RefSeq, a predicted model, not a curated record
UUCAGGUGUGUGUUUGUGCAGGCGCAGGUGUGCAGGUGCAGGUGCAGGUGCAGGUGCAGGUGUGCAGUACAUUUAAACACGCCAAUCAAGAUGGCGUGUAUAUAAUAAAAGACGUCAAUCCGUGUGGCGUGUCUGUGCUAAAAGACGCCAACCUCAUUUGCGUCUUUAACUAAAAGACGCCAACACCAUUGGCGUCUUUGUUCAGAAGCAUAUACUAGCAGCCAGUCGCGAAAAAUUAACACCACAGACCCACUUCGCGAUUUUCUCUAGCAGCGGCCAAAUCCUUCGCAAAUUCGUCCGUGUCUUUGUGAUUUCGCCCUCCAUUCAUCAAUCGGUGCUAGUUUUCCCCAAAUUCGUCCAAUUUAUUCGGUAAUUUAUGGCAUCUUCUUCAACUUCUCGUCGUCGGCUCUUAUGUGGUCCUGAGGACCCCUCCGUAUUAUAUCUGCAGAGACAACACGUCUCUAAUAACAUAUGGGCAGGAGUGCCAUCGGAAGACGUACGGUGUAGAAGAUACGAAGGAAUCAUAUGGGAUGUUCCCAUAAAUCCUCGUGUUUUGGCGGUUAUAGAUGAGAUGGGGUUCGGCGGGAUGUUGAGGUGUGGUCAACCGAAAGACAUUGACCACCAUCUUAUCACCGCUUUGAUUGAACGUUGGAGGCCAGAGACUCACACGUUUCACUUUCCAGUCGGUGAAGCGACUGUGAGCUUAGAAGACGUGGAGGUCUUAUGGGGCCUCUGACGUGGAAGUCUUAUGGGGUCUUAUGGGGCCUCAAAACUGACGGUGAGCCUCAACCACAGCUGGGUUGUCACUGUCCCCUAAAUGCACGCCUCCAAUAUCAAAAUCUUGUGUUGUAUCGAAGCAUGGUUCUUGGCCUCUCGUAGACGUACCAACAUCAAAAUCUUGUGUUGCAGCGAAAUAUGGUUCUCGGC